RNAcentral lists this ribosomal RNA (844 nucleotides) under Streptomyces sp. RNAcentral describes it as "bacterial SSU rRNA". It matches the Rfam family "Bacterial small subunit ribosomal RNA", at positions 91 to 950 of the family's 1533-position model. The record is from RNAcentral. Lineage: Bacteria; Bacillati; Actinomycetota; Actinomycetes; Kitasatosporales; Streptomycetaceae.
AUUAGUGGCGACGGGUGAGUAACACGUGGGCAAUCUGCCCUUCACUCUGGGACAAGCCCUGGAAACGGGGUCUAAUACCGGAUAACACUCUGUCCCGCAUGGGACGGGGUUAAAAGCUCCGGCGGUGAAGGAUGAGCCCGCGGCCUAUCAGCUUGUUGGUGGGGUAAUGGCCUACCAAGGCGACGACGGGUAGCCGGCCUGAGAGGGCGACCGGCCACACUGGGACUGAGACACGGCCCAGACUCCUACGGGAGGCAGCAGUGGGGAAUAUUGCACAAUGGGCGAAAGCCUGAUGCAGCGACGCCGCGUGAGGGAUGACGGCCUUCGGGUUGUAAACCUCUUUCAGCAGGGAAGAAGCGAAAGUGACGGUACCUGCAGAAGAAGCGCCGGCUAACUACGUGCCAGCAGCCGCGGUAAUACGUAGGGCGCAAGCGUUGUCCGGAAUUAUUGGGCGUAAAGAGCUCGUAGGCGGCUUGUCACGUCGGAUGUGAAAGCCCGGGGCUUAACCCCGGGUCUGCAUUCGAUACGGGCUAGCUAGAGUGUGGUAGGGGAGAUCGGAAUUCCUGGUGUAGCGGUGAAAUGCGCAGAUAUCAGGAGGAACACCGGUGGCGAAGGCGGAUCUCUGGGCCAUUACUGACGCUGAGGAGCGAAAGCGUGGGGAGCGAACAGGAUUAGAUACCCUGGUAGUCCACGCCGUAAACGUUGGGAACUAGGUGUUGGCGACAUUCCACGUCGUCGUGCCGCAGCUAACGCAUUAAGUUCCCCGCCUGGGGGAGUACGACGCAGCUAAACUCAAGGAAUUGACGGGGGCCCGCACAAGCAGCGGGAGCAUGGUGGCCUUAAU